UAGGGAAUAUUGGGCAAUGGGCGAGAGCCUGACCCAGCCAUGCCGCGUGCCGGAUGAAGGCCUUCUGGGUUGUAAACGGCUUUUCUCAGGGAAGAAAAAGACCAUGCGUGGUACACUGACGGUACCUGAGGAAUAAGCACCGGCUAACUCCGUGCCAGCAGCCGCGGUAAUACGGAGGGUGCAAGCGUUGUCCGGAUUUAUUGGGUUUAAAGGGUGCGUAGGUGGCCCUGUAAGUCCGUGGUGAAAGCCUCUCGCUUAACGAGAGAACUGCCAUGGAUACUGCAGGGCUUGAGUCCAGACGAGGUUGGCGGAAUGGAUGGUGUAGCGGUGAAAUGCAUAGAUACCAUCCAGAACCCCGAUUGCGUAGGCAGCUGACUAGGCUGGUACUGACACUGAGGCACGAAAGCGUGGGGAGCGAAC
This 420-nucleotide ribosomal RNA is filed under the name uncultured bacterium. Its description in RNAcentral is "bacterial SSU rRNA". It matches the Rfam family "Bacterial small subunit ribosomal RNA", at positions 355 to 773 of the family's 1533-position model. The record is from RNAcentral.